GAUGAACGCUGGCGGCGUGCCUAAUACAUGCAAGUCGAGCGGUGUUAUUGAAGCUUGCUUUAAUAACAUAGCGGCGAACGGGUGAGUAACACGUGGGCAACCUGCCCCCAAGACAGGGAUAACUUCGGGAAACCGGAGCUAAUACCAGAUAAUCUUAUUCCUUGCAUGAGGAAGAAGUAAAAGGCUUCGGCCGUUUGGGGAUGGGCCCGCGACGCAUUAGCUAGUUGGUGUGGUAACGGCAUACCAAGGCGACGAUGCGUAGCCGACCUGAGAGGGU
Molecule: ribosomal RNA, 277 nt
Filed under: uncultured bacterium
Lineage: Bacteria
Description: partial 16S ribosomal RNA
Rfam family: Bacterial small subunit ribosomal RNA
Source: RNAcentral